RNAcentral lists this ribosomal RNA (750 nucleotides) under Proasellus cantabricus. RNAcentral's name for it is "12S ribosomal RNA". The record is from RNAcentral. Lineage: Eukaryota; Metazoa; Arthropoda; Malacostraca; Isopoda; Asellidae.
CCAAAUAGAGGUGAAUUUUUGUUAAUAAUUUUAUUGGGCUCCCCUUCUUCUAUAAGUUUAAAUCUAGCUAAAAAUAUAAACUACAUUUAAUGUAUAUGAAAUCACAGAAUUAAUUAAAAGAUCCUUAGUACAAAGAUUUUUUUAACUAGUUAAGCUAGAAAAAGUAAAUAAAUGAUCUAUUAGGUGCCAGCAUUCGCGGUUAUACCUAUAUUUGUUAUAUUAUUCACGGACUAGGGCCUAGUAAUAAAACCUAAAAUCUUUAGAAGUAAAAUUCUGCUUGUUUUUUUUAAUUAAUACACCUUAAAAAAUAACUAAUAAACAGGGAUUAGACACCCCUUUAUAGACCAUAAAUAUGUUCCUAGGGUAGUAGAUGAUAUACAACUUUAAACCCAAAGAAUUUGGCGGCAGUCAACCUUUCCAGAGAGACCUGUUUAUCUAUUUGACAAUCCACAUUAAAUCUUACUUUUACUAAAACUUGCAUACCGUCAUCUAAAUUCUAUCUUAAGAUAAAUAUUUUAAAGGUAACAAAAAUGUUAGAUCAACGCGCAGUAAAUAUAAAAGCUUCUAAUGGGUCUCAAUUUAAAUUAAAUAGAAAAGACUUUAAUAAACUUUAUAAAGAGGAUUUGGGUGUAAUACUUUUUUAAAAAAACAAUAUGAAUAAGCCAUUGAUUGUGUACAUAUCGCCCGUCGCCCUCGACCCGAGGUAAGUCGUAACAUAGUAGAAGUACUAGAAAGUGUUUCUUUAUUUAU